GACGAACGCUGGCGGCGUGCUUAACACAUGCAAGUCGAACGGAAAGGCCCUGCUUUUGUGGGGUGCUCGAGUGGCGAACGGGUGAGUAACACGUGAGUAACCUGCCCUUGACUUUGGGAUAACUUCAGGAAACUGGGGCUAAUACCGGAUAGGAGCUCCUGCUGCAUGGUGGGGGUUGGAAAGUUUCGGCGGUUGGGGAUGGACUCGCGGCUUAUCAGCUUGUUGGUGGGGUAGUGGCUUACCAAGGCUUUGGCGGGUAGCCGGCCUGGGAGGGUGACCGGCCACAUUGGGCCUGAGAUACGGCCCAGACUCCUACGGGAGGCAGCAGUGGGGAGGAUUGCACAAUGGGCGGAAGCCUGAUGAAGCAACGCCGCGUGCGGGAUGCCGGCCUUCGGGUUGUAAACCGCUUUCGCUUGUGACGAAGCGUGAGUGACGGUAAUGGGUAAAGAAGCACCGGCUAACUACGUG
Molecule: ribosomal RNA, 468 nt
Filed under: uncultured bacterium
Lineage: Bacteria
Description: partial 16S ribosomal RNA
Rfam family: Bacterial small subunit ribosomal RNA
Source: RNAcentral